RNAcentral lists this long non-coding RNA (1488 nucleotides) under Homo sapiens (human). RNAcentral describes it as "HSALNT0077213". Lineage: Eukaryota; Metazoa; Chordata; Mammalia; Primates; Hominidae. The record is from RNAcentral.
CUUCACAUAAUGACAGCAAUUUCUCUGAACUAAAUGUUAAUUAAUAAGGCCUGUAAUACUAUGAGAAGGAAAUGGUGGCAAUUGGCAAAUGGAACUCUGUUGCUUGGUAACAAAACCUGAGAAAUAAUCAAAACCCUCUGCACUCACUCAGAAGUGUCCAUAAGUCCUGUUCAAGUAAUCUUAAAAGAGACUGUUCCAAUAUUCGAUCUGCCUCGUUCAACAAGGCAAAAAGGUGAGGAAGCAGAGAAUUAUUUUUGAAUGGCUACUGCUUAAAGAGUUGCCUGCGUGAGGUUUGGUGGCAAGAAGCAGAAGUCAGAGCCUGUGGUUCCUGUUGCUCUUCGGCGGUAUGAAAGAGAGAAGAAGGCGUGCUUCAUUAUAUGAAGCUUUGCUCCUAAGGCCAAGUCCUUUAACCUCAUGACCAUCCCAUUUCUGAACCCAUACAUUUUCCAGGAACUCUCAGUUUUUCACUGAGAACAGCAAGUGUGGCAAGAAUAAAGAGCACAACAGUUGCCGUGAAGGCCAUCCCCACCACGUGGGUGUUUCCUGAGUGAGAUGACUUGCACACACAGUGCCAGCUCUAGAGAGAAAAGGAAAAGAAGCAACUUACUAAAAAUAUUCCCAAGGCAAAGACAAGGAACUGUGCCUCCACUCCUUCCUUUAGCUUGUAAGUUGCUUUGGGGCCCUGGGUUGCGAUUCUUAACCCACAGUGGAUGUUAAAUAAAUAUUUGAUGGUGUUGAGGGCUUAAGUAAUGGUUUAUGUAAACAUCAAGAGCUGCUGCUCAGAACAUAUUCUCAUGGCACAAUACUAAAUUGACCAGAGAGAUUUCACUGUGGUGUGCCUCAGACUGUAGAAUAUAAGGAAGUCUCAUUAACUUGUCAAGUUGACAGAGUUUGGGAAUUUGUUUUGUUGUUGCAAACCCACUGUUUGCAAAAUGAGUAUUCUCAUAUAUGGUCAGUAGGUCUGUAAAAUAGCACAUGUAAGAAGGGCAAUUUGGCAAUACUCAUUAAAAGCCUUCAAAAUAAUAGUCUUGACUCAGCAAUUUCACUUCUAAGAAUUAAUCGUAAAGAAGCCAUCAUGGAGUUUGUAUGUAAAGAUUUAGCUAUAAGGACAUUGUUUGUAAGAGUAAAAAAUGGGAAGCAACAUAGUUAUCUGACAACAUGGGACUUGUUAAACAGAUUGUGGUACACUCCAGUUGAAUUCCAGGCUGGGCGCGGUGGCUCACGUCUGUAAUCCCAGCACUUUGGGAGGCCUAGGCGGGCAGAUCACCUGAGGUCUGGAGUUCAAGAAGAGCCUAGCCAAUAUGGCAAAACCUCGUCUCUGCUAAAAAUACAAAAAUAAGAAAAAUUAGCCGGGUGUGGUGGUGCGUGCCCGUAGUCCCAGCUACUCAGGAGUCUGAGGCCUGUGAUGGCUUGAACCAGGGAGCCGGAGGUUGCAAUAAGCUGACGUCACACCACUGAACUCCAGCCUGGGCAACAGAACAAGACUCC